AAAACGGUCCUUUUCAGGACCACCAAUAUCCGUUUAAAAACACAUU
This 46-nucleotide non-coding RNA is filed under the name Cinara cedri. It matches the Rfam family "Histone 3' UTR stem-loop". Rfam says of the family: The mRNAs of metazoan histone genes lack a poly-A tail. 3' end processing occurs at a site between a highly conserved stem-loop (modelled by this family) and a purine rich region around 20 nts downstream (the histone downstream element, or HDE). Lineage: Eukaryota; Metazoa; Arthropoda; Insecta; Hemiptera; Aphididae. The record is from RNAcentral.